RNAcentral lists this transfer RNA (84 nucleotides) under Fidelibacterota bacterium. RNAcentral describes it as "tRNA-Leu". It matches the Rfam family "tRNA". From Rfam's summary of the family: Transfer RNA (tRNA) molecules are approximately 80 nucleotides in length. Their secondary structure includes four short double-helical elements and three loops (D, anti-codon, and T loops). Lineage: Bacteria; Pseudomonadati; Fidelibacterota. The record is from RNAcentral.
GCCGGGGUGGCGGAAUUGGUAGACGCGCUGGUCUCAAAAACCAGUGAGGGCGACCUCGUGCCGGUUCGAUCCCGGCCCUCGGCA